This 379-nucleotide ribosomal RNA is filed under the name Olea europaea subsp. europaea. RNAcentral describes it as "Bacterial small subunit ribosomal RNA". It matches the Rfam family "Bacterial small subunit ribosomal RNA", at positions 934 to 1325 of the family's 1533-position model. Lineage: Eukaryota; Viridiplantae; Streptophyta; Magnoliopsida; Lamiales; Oleaceae. The record is from Rfam by way of RNAcentral.
GGAGCAAGUGAUUUAAUUCAACAAAAAGCUAAUAACUUUAUCGGGGCUUGAUAUGCUGCACAUUCUUUUAAAAGAAGGGUGCCGACCACGUGUAUAAUUGGUUCGUUGCUAUUGUCAACUUGUGUAAUGAGGUAUUAGGUAAGUUUUGUAACGAGCACAACCUACUAUUUAGUUGUCAUCAAUAAGCUUGGAACCCUAAGUGAGAUGUUGUGAUUAGCUUAAUGAAUAUAAGGAUGACAUCUGAGUGAUCAUAUCUUUUAUGUCCUUGGCAACAUACAUACAAUGGUAAGGACAAAGGACCAAAAAUUUGGGAGAUCAAGCUAAUCCUAUUGACCAAUCAUCAAUUUGGAUUGUAGGCUACCUUAAGACUUAAAUGUCA